CGAUGACAGAAUCCUACGGAGAAUGCCUUGGUGACCACAGGCAGCCCAUUCUCUCAGGAACGAAAAUAAACAGACAAAAUCAACUCAGGAGAACCUAAACAUGUGAAAACAGUAGAGCCAUGCUUUUUUCCCAGGUUUCUAGACUUUAAUGACCGUGACAUUUGAAAAACCAGCAUUUAAAUGGGUGGAUGGAUUAUGAGAGCAAAGUGUACGGCUGGUUUCAAAUAAAAGAAGAAACUGUGAUUAACAAAAUGCUCAAGGUCAAGUCUGUGCCUCCUUAUUAAAUAUUAAUUAACAAGCAAACAAACAAAAACCAAAGUUCUCCUAUUUUUAAUACCAUGUGUGUUCAGAUCAUUUAGAGUGUUUUGCUGUCCAUAUGAGCUCACUUUCUGGAUAAUUGGAAAGUUAAGUAACUGCCUAGAAAAGGUAAACAUUUGUUAAAGUCCUUAAGAGGAGGCUUAACUUAUUUGAUACGACUGCAAUAAAAUAGUAGUUUGUGUCAACAUAAAAUCCUUCUUGUAUCUAUCAUAUGAUGUCAUGUGGAACUGCCAACACACAGUUUUUGAUGUACCUGAUGACGACAACAGCUUAAGAAGAUUCAAUUGGCUGGUGUGACUGAUAGAAUUAAGUGGCUAAUGACUGAGGAGGUCCAAGGGAAAAUGAACGACAAUGACCAAAGAAGCAAACUGGAGGACUUCAACAGUAGAUAUAAGCAGUGCCAAUGUCCCCAUUCUGCAUGUAAGAGAAUAGAGGCCAGGACUGGGGAAGUCAUCUUGCUAAGGCUCCUGACAAGGUCCUCAGUGUCAGAAGAGGAAGAAGGAGGAGGAGAAAAAGAGAAGAGGAGGAGGAAAUUAUUUCAUUAAAAGGAUGAAGAGGAAAGACAACAGCAGAUAAAAGUUUUUGAUGCACUUUUGAAAAUUGGAAACUAUCAGUAAAAAUGCUCCAGCCAAACAGCAGAGUAAACCAAGAAAGAAGCUGAUGAAAUUACUCCCUAGCAUAGAAGAAGCUGGAAAGAAGCUCCUAGAUGCCUACAGAGCACGUCCAGCAAGUGACCUGCCUGUAGCACAAGGAGAGCAAGUGAGGCACCAAGGAAGAGCUUCCUUCUGCACAAUGUACUGUACCUGAGGAGUUUCUCUCUGUCUGAGUGAAAACAAAGUUGCCAGACCUUCAUACAACACAGACUGGGCAGUGUCACCUCUGCUGCAUGGAUCAGAACAAGUCAUGCAACAACCCCCACACACACACCCCGCCAUCAAAAAGUAGAGCUCCAUUGUGACUUCAGAAAAACUUAACGUUACUUUCUCUGCUCAGGCAACAUUCAGCUCCAGGAAAACAGCUGAUGUCUUUUGCUCUGAGAGGCUUUGCUGUCCUCUGUGUAGCACUUCUGGCUUUUCAUCUAGAUCUUCACGGCCCACCCCUCUCUGCUUUUGGACCCUGCCCUGUAAUGGUUUCCUUCCACCUUUUCCCCAUUCAUCUGCUUUACUGAAUAAAUCUGCAAAAGAAUUGAAGUUAGGAGAUGGUAAGGAAGGAGGACACAAAACGAGAGAAAAACACACCUUAUCAUCUUUUCAGUUUAAUGGCAGGACACAACAGCAAAACACCUACCACGGGUUUGCUCAGUGAAUUUUGCUCGCUGAUUGAUGUGUGGGGCUGGGAUGUCUGACUUCAGAACUUCUACAGACAGGCUGCUGGCCUCAGCUUUUGUACCUAAGAACACCAGGAAUCUUGGAUGCAGGGAUAAAGAUGAAGAAGAAUAAGCACCUGCUUCCCAGACCUUCCGGUCUCCCCUGGACAUAAAUGACUAUUUUAACAGAGCUAACUGGCAUACAGAAGAGUUUUUCGGAAUUACUUCCCAUGCUAAGCAGAUGCCAGUGCAAUUGGUUUCCAGAUAAGACUUUAAAAAUCAGAUUCACUUUCAUUUGUGAGAAUUUUGGUAGAAUUAAGCUUUAAAAUCAACAUAGGCUUUUAAAAUAUUGCAAUUAUCAUGAAAUGCCAUUAAGCACACCCUCAUUUAAACCAUUCUGCUUAUAUUGGUUGGAAAAUGUUAAUGCCUAAAAGAGUCUGGGUGAUAAAGGUAAACUCCCUCCUUCCAGAGAGGGAGCAUGAGACUGCUGGCACAUGCUAGCCCUUCAUUUUCCUUGGCUGUUUGAACCCUCUUUUGGAGGUACAGGACCCGAGGGUGUGAAAUUGAGAUCCAUUUCUGAGGGCAUAAGGUUAGAGACAAGAAGGAGGUGGCAAAGAAAAACCGAUAAGUAUCAGAGUCCAUGCUUAAUGCUGACACCUGAUCCUAACUUGGUCUGUCCACUGCCUGCCCAGUCACAGAAAUCCAAGAGGGAAGAAAGCCCAGGAGAGGUAUGGUGAGAUCAAAUAAAGUGAUACAUGUAAAAUUAUUCUGUAAAUUGUAACACACAGCGUUUAGGGCUAUGAAUUGUUGAGUGCCAGGCAUUUACGUCUUUAUCACAAAAUGCAGGCUCUGUAGGGAGAGAUUUUAUUAGGUACGGGGGGAAGAGAAAAUAAAAGAAAUAGAAUGCACAAUCCUUGUGCGUAAGGACCUUGCAGAUUAAUAGCAUAGAAUACAGAGCAAAGAAGCUAGUUCCAGAAAAUAAUGUAUCACAUGCAAAAAAAAAAAAAAAUCUAUUAGCCUUAGUCUAAUAGUCUAAUAGUCUGUAGAAUGUAGGAAAUGGUCGGCAAGAAGUACUGUGUCACAUGAAGUCUUUGGUUCAAGUGAAGAAGCACUCUCAGUCCUCCUUCCCAUUCUGUCCUUGCUGUUUUUCUUUUUCUCAAGUUCUUGGUGUUGUCAAGAGCUUUCGAGUGCAUUGUUUUCCUUACAUCCCACAGUAACUCAUGUCAUAAUCACUUUAUGAAUGAAAAACUGUGGUUCAGAAAAGUUAAAUAAAUAUUCCUAAGAUGACACAAUUAAGGGACCAAUCUGGGGUUUAAAGCCAAGCGAGUCCCUCUGAUCCCGAAGUCACUUCGCCAACCUACUUCACUUUAAAGGAAUAUGUCUACUUAUCAACUCUUCUUUAAUGGAAGGAGAAAUAGCAUCUUGUGGCCAAUCUCACUGAUCCAGAAUCCUCCGUGCCUGAGAACUCUGAGGCUCAGGAAGAGCUGCAGGUAAGUUUGGCUCUGCUUCUCAAAUGUCAAAUGGUUCAGAGACAUCUACCAAGGAGAAACAACAAGUCACCUUGCUUUCUUGCUAAAACUCAUCAAAAUACUCAAAUGUGGUGCACUGGUUCUUAUGCUCAAAAAAAAAAAAAAAGGGAGGAGAAGGAAAGGAAGAAAAAAAGAAAAAAGGAGGUGGAGGAGAAGAAGCAGAAGAAAAAGAAGAAAGGAGAGGAGAAGGAGAAGAAGAAGAAGAAGAAAAAGAGGAUGGAGGAGGAGGAGAAGAAGAAAAAAAAGGAGAUUGAAAAGAAGAGGAAGAGAAGAAGACAAAUUAUUGCACAUUUGGUUCUCUGUUGUACCAUGUCAUUUGUACAUAUAUUUUAUUCCUCUUUCCAGAAUGUUUGCUUCUAGAGCUUGCAUCUUACCUGUGACCAUAACUGUGAGUUAUUUUUGUAUUCUCCAAAGCAUCUUGCACGUGGUAGGUGCUGACAAAGUUUUGCUGGAUUUGCUCUAUUCGCAGGGCAUUAUGGUAUAGGAGUUAAGCACAUAGUCUAUGGUAGAAAACAUGACAUCAAAUUCCACCUACAAUACUCACUGGCUAUAGAAUAAAGCUGCUUAAGAUCAUUUUCUUUGUUACCUUAUCUGUAAUCUGGAGAGUUAAAUAGCACCUACUUUAUAGAGUUGUUGGCCAACUAAGUAAAGAUGUAUAAAAUGCUCAAAACGGUCCUGGCAUAUAGUAAGUACUAGAUAAUUGUAUCUAAUAUAUUAUUAAUGUAUCAUCAUUAAUAAAUCAUCAGAUUUAUUAAUAAAUAUCUCAUCAGAAAAAAAUGCGAAAAAGGAAAAUACUCAAAUAAUCUUCAUGUAUUUAAUAGAUUCUCAGUACCUUAUACAAGGCCAAAAUAUCUCUAAUCCAGAUAUUACCAUUUUGUAUUUCAGUCUUCUGGAUUCUAUUAAAUGCGGAGGGAAAUAUUUAUUUUUGUUUAUUUGUUUGGAUUCUUUGGAGGUGCAAGAAGCAAGCAGCAUACAAAUAUGUCAAAACGAGUGCCAGGUCUCAAUCUUCUCUACAUUGUACAGUCAGGAACAUUUAUCAUUUGACUUCCCUAGUGAGUCUUCUCUGAGGAUAUUAAUAAUUCCUAUUAUGUUUCAUGGGUUAAGCAUUAACCUGUUUCUUCCCUAAUACCUAAUAUCCAGGCUUCAUCAAGUCUCCCAACCCUUGGUAGCACUAGAGGUGAUGAUGUUAAAUUAUCAUCGUACCUCUACUCAAAGAUAAGAGUUUCCUCCUAGCCGCUUAACUCUAUUUAGGUUCCAACUUCAGCCAAGUCUUUUUUCUUUUAUAUAAUUAGAUUAAAAAUUAAACAUAUCUGUUGCAGAGUUGAAAUGUCCUCCCAUUCCACUUAUAUGUGUAGGGAAAAUGCAGCUUCUUUCUACUGUAGUAAAAUGU
Molecule: long non-coding RNA, 4543 nt
Organism: Canis lupus familiaris (dog)
Lineage: Eukaryota; Metazoa; Chordata; Mammalia; Carnivora; Canidae
Exons: 7
Source: RefSeq, a predicted model, not a curated record